GGGGAUUUAGCUCAGUGGUAGAGCACUUGCCUAGCAAGCGCAAGGCCCUGGGUUCGGUCCCCAGCUCCU
Rattus norvegicus (Norway rat) is the source of this 69-nucleotide non-coding RNA. The record is from Rfam. NCBI's taxonomy places the organism in Eukaryota, Metazoa, Chordata, Mammalia, Rodentia, Muridae.